AAGGUUGGUAUGAUGAUCAGCCUCAUCAAGAGAAGAUCAAGAGAAGAUCAGAUCAGAAGAUCAGAAGAUCUACCCAAAGUCAAAAGGAGGCGGGGGCUGGCGCCAGGACCCAUCUGAGCCAAAGGGUCACUGCAAGAAGGGGUCAAGGCUGGAGGAACUUGGGCUUACCAUGAGCUGACUUUUCAAGCUGGAUCACCCCAGGUCUGGACAAGGGUUGGAGGCCUCACCCACUUAGCCACCGCUAGCUGGAAUAUAAAUUGCUGCGACCACUUUGGAGGGUGACUUGAGCAGUACCUGUGCAAACUUCCAAAUGUGUACCCUUUGACCCAGCAGCUCUACUUCUGGGAAUUUAUCCUACAGACACUCUAAAGUCCGUUGGCAGUGAUCGUCACACAAGGAGGUAGCACUGUUUGUCAUGGCCAAGAACAUCCAUCAGUAGGAGACCAGUAAGAAAACUAUGCGUCAUGGACUCCCCCCAUGGAAAGUUAUGCAGUCACCAAAAAGAGGCCCUCAUCGUAUGAAUGGACAUAGGAGGACGUUCGUGAUAUAUGCGUGUAUUAGGAUUUUUUUAAGUGUCUGUAUUUCUUAAUAUAGUGUCUAUUUUUAAGUGUCUAUAUUUAACAGUCUAUAUUUCCGUUAUCUAUAGCUGAGUAACAUGCCCUCCAGAAACUAGCCAUUUGCACCGAGCGUCAGCGGGACUCAAUCAUGGGGCUGCCUUCACCUGGGAGCUUGGCUAGGCUGGAGCUUCCAAGAUGGCCUGUCCUCUACCAGGGCCGUCCAUGUGUGGGACCGCUAACCAUUCUGCAGUCUAGCUGAGCUGCCGGACAGCACGGUGGCUGGAUUCGGGGAGUAUUUCAAGAGGCUAAGCUUCCAGGUGCAAGUACUUACCAAGCUCCAGCUGGCAUCAUGCUUGCUUAUGUACCCUUGCCCAAGACAAGUCACGUGGUCCGUCCAAAGUCACUGUGAUGGGGCUAUGCCAGGGCACGGAUGCUGGGAGGCAAAAUGCAUUGGGGGCCAUCCCAGUAACUGUCCAUCACUAUACAUGGAAUUUGAUAAUAUUUUAUUAAGAAACUACAUAUGAGAGG
This is a long non-coding RNA of Mustela erminea (ermine), 1085 nucleotides long. RefSeq lists it as uncharacterized. The transcript is spliced from 3 exons. The record is from RefSeq and is a predicted model, not a curated record. Lineage: Eukaryota; Metazoa; Chordata; Mammalia; Carnivora; Mustelidae.